UACGGAGGGUGCAAGCGUUAUCCGGAUUCACUGGGUUUAAAGGGUGCGUAGGUGGUUAUGUAAGUCAGUGGUGAAAGCCCGCGGCUCAACCGUGGAAUUGCCAUUGAAACUGCGUAACUUGAGUAUAGUUGAAGUGGGCGGAAUACAUCAUGUAGCGGUGAAAUGCUUAGAUAUGAUGUAGAACACCGAUUGCGAAGGCAGCUCACUAAACUGUAACUGACACUGAGGCACGAAAGCGUGGGGAGCGAACAGG
RNAcentral lists this ribosomal RNA (253 nucleotides) under uncultured bacterium. RNAcentral describes it as "partial 16S ribosomal RNA". It matches the Rfam family "Bacterial small subunit ribosomal RNA", at positions 524 to 776 of the family's 1533-position model. The record is from RNAcentral.